Long non-coding RNA from Tympanuchus pallidicinctus (lesser prairie-chicken), 1835 nucleotides. RefSeq lists it as uncharacterized. The record is from RefSeq and is a predicted model, not a curated record. Lineage: Eukaryota; Metazoa; Chordata; Aves; Galliformes; Phasianidae. The transcript has 3 exons.
GGCAAAACAGGAGGCUUCAGUCUUCCAACAGGAAAGAAAAUGCUUUGCUUUUGCCAGCUGUUGUUGUUUUCCUUACUCUGUUGUUUCCUCCCAGUGUGCUGUGACUUCUUUGUUCUCUGGAGAAAACAAACUUUGUGGGGAGAGCAGCCUUUAUUAAUGAAAGCAAACAGCCGCUGCUUUGUUAUUGUCUGUAUGAUGCCCUGAUAAUGUUUUGCAAACAUAAUUCCUGCUAUGCUGGAAGGAGUCUCAUGACUGGACGUUGGGAGAGCAGCGAUGGCUUGUGGAGGUUAUUGGGCUUAUGGUAGUUUGGAUAUAUGUGCUGCAUUUCAUUGUGCAACGAUCGAAAGCAGAACUCCAGGAGAUCAAGAAGGCAACUAAAUAACGUGUUUUCAAAGGGACGUAAACUGAAAAAGCAAGUGCCAUUGCCAGCUGUAAACAUUGCCUUCUCCUCUCUUUGGCUGAAAAAAGUAGUACCUCUAAUGACUAAACAAACAAGAUUUUUACCAUCAUUACUGGGAGGGGUGUGAAACAAAGGAAACCUGCACAGCUGAGCAGGCCCCAUGUUGGCACAGCACAGUGUACAGUUGGAUUACCACAGAGGAGUCAGUCAGGUUUGCUUAGGGAAGCCAAUGGAAGCCCUCCUUCGCCCUGAGGCCUUGACCUCUUGGUAAAGUGUGCAAUGACUUGAAUUUUGUAGGACAUGUUAUACUUGGGUUGCUUUGAUUCAGAGCCUGAGUUCCCCAUACACAUCUAUUUCUGUGGGGAGGCAAAGGGAGAAGAAGAUGACAACUUAUCUGCUAAUUUGGACCAUGCUGUUCAGGUAUGAGCUUUGUCUUGGGCUUUAUUUUCCUUGCUUUUUCCAUGUGAAGGCUGUACUUUUCAGGCAACUUAAUGCUUCUGAGAAAUCCCACUUCAAACCUGCUUCUCCAGUCACUGCAGAUGGAGGAGUUAGAGCCUACCUUAACAAACUUAAUUUGGAUGUAUGCUUAGUGUUAUAUUUUAGUCUUGACAUGUGACUUGCUAUCCUGAGGAAAAAUGUGAAGUAUUAUAUGCACAUCCAGACACGUACUUAAAACUAAGACAUUUAUUACAUGCUAAUUCUACCCAUAACCAGUGCUGGCAGAGAGGACACCUCUCCUUUGCAGUAUCACCAAACACCUGCAUGAUGUCCUGGAACUUCCUCACUCCCAGCCACAUGCUUGAAGGAGCCUCCCUCUGGUAACAGCUAUUGCUGUGCUGGAUGUGUGCUCAUCGUAGCAAUGUAAAUGUGUCCAAAAUUCAAAACCCCAGGUGUGCAAGGGAUUUCACUGUAGAGGACUUUAUGAAAGGAGUUGUGGGUUUGUCAUUUUUGGUGGUUUUUUGUUGUUGUUUUUUUUUUUGUUUUGUUUUGAGAUUUAAUCAACAUCCACACCUACUUCUUUCCUUAAGAGAUCAUUACAAGCCUCUGAAAAAGGAGUCUUAUCAAAUGAAUGCGGAUGGUUGGCUUCUGUCCUCACCGCUGUUGUUGCUGGCAGGCAUGCUGAGAUGAUGCAGUACUUUUAAAGGAUGCCAAAUAUAUCCUCACUGGCACGGAGGGGAAGUUUCCACAAAAUCAUACAAGAGAAAACACUGAGUGCAGAGAUCUGUUCUGCUGUGUCUGUGCAAUGUUCUUCCAAAUGGCUUAAUCGUGUGCGAAAAUAAAUAGUGCUUUUUUUAACACCUAUCAGCUAGGAAAACAGGGUGAUGGCUGAAUUUAGAAGUAUGAGGUACAGGAAAAUUUCCCAUGACCAAAAGUGGUCUAUGGCAGUCUGUCAACUUUUGCUGUAUUACUAUUGUCAUCUCUGAUUUUUGGUGUU